Kocuria flava is the source of this 73-nucleotide transfer RNA. It matches the Rfam family "tRNA". From Rfam's summary of the family: Transfer RNA (tRNA) molecules are approximately 80 nucleotides in length. Their secondary structure includes four short double-helical elements and three loops (D, anti-codon, and T loops). The record is from Rfam. Lineage: Bacteria; Bacillati; Actinomycetota; Actinomycetes; Micrococcales; Micrococcaceae.
GGGGCUGUGGCGCAGCUGGUAGCGCAUUUGCAUGGCAUGCAAAGGGUCAGGGGUUCGAGUCCCCUCAGCUCCA